This 279-nucleotide ribosomal RNA is filed under the name uncultured bacterium. Its description in RNAcentral is "partial 16S ribosomal RNA". It matches the Rfam family "Bacterial small subunit ribosomal RNA", at positions 506 to 784 of the family's 1533-position model. The record is from RNAcentral.
UGCCAGCCGCCGCGGUAAUACGGAGGGUGCGAGCGUUGUUCGGAAUCAUUGGGCGUAAAGCGCGUGUAGGCGGCUUGGCAAGUCGGGUGUGAAAGCCCGGGGCUCAACCCCGGAAAUGCAUUCGAAACUGCCUCGCUCGAGUCCCGGAGAGGAAGGCGGAAUUCCCGGUGUAGAGGUGAAAUUCGUAGAUAUCGGGAGGAACACCAGUGGCGAAGGCGGCCUUCUGGACGGUGACUGACGCUGAGACGCGAAAGCGUGGGGAGCAAACAGGAUUAGAUA